Molecule: ribosomal RNA, 253 nt
Filed under: uncultured bacterium
Lineage: Bacteria
Description: partial 16S ribosomal RNA
Rfam family: Bacterial small subunit ribosomal RNA
Source: RNAcentral
UACGUAGGGUGCAAGCGUUAUCCGGAAUUAUUGGGCGUAAAGAGCUCGUAGGCGGUUUGUCGCGUCUGCUGUGAAAACUGGAGGCUCAACCUCCAGCCUGCAGUGGGUACGGGCAGACUAGAGUGCGGUAGGGGAGAUUGGAAUUCCUGGUGUAGCGGUGAAAUGCGCAGAUAUCAGGAGGAACACCAGUGGCGAAGGCGGCUUCCUGGACUCAUACUGACGCUGAGGCGCGAAAGCGUGGGGAGCGAACAGG